Long non-coding RNA from Eptesicus fuscus (big brown bat), 398 nucleotides. RefSeq lists it as uncharacterized. The transcript has 4 exons. NCBI's taxonomy places the organism in Eukaryota, Metazoa, Chordata, Mammalia, Chiroptera, Vespertilionidae. The record is from RefSeq and is a predicted model, not a curated record.
GUUUCGACCCCUUUUGGUUGCACUUGGUCAACCCACCUGGACAAGUAUGAUGUCAUCCUAUUCUUCAAAAUAGCUGGUGAAAAGUCAGUUGUAAGGGAGCUGGAUCUCAUUUAAAUACUCAAUGUCUUAGAAGCAGAAUAAACAAAUAUUCCAGGAGAGCUCACCUGGCAAAUGUGACAGCUUCUCCAGACUUAGGAGCUGUUCUUUGAAGUACCCAAAAGAUAAGAUCCUGUGGGGACAGGACUUUCUGAACGUAGAGAGAUUCAUUUACACCACCGCAAAAUAAAAUCAACCUGCCACUGAUCGAAGUUUCGAUUCCUGUUUUCCAGAGCGUUUCACAGGAGGAUUUCCCCACUCUGUUAAAAAGCACCUCUGGGGAAAUCUGUGAGACCUGCAAG